This 434-nucleotide ribosomal RNA is filed under the name uncultured bacterium. RNAcentral describes it as "partial 16S ribosomal RNA". It matches the Rfam family "Bacterial small subunit ribosomal RNA", at positions 29 to 507 of the family's 1533-position model. The record is from RNAcentral.
AGCGAACGCUGGCGGCAGGCCUAACACAUACAAGUCGAACGAACCUUUCGGGGUUAGUGGCGGACGGGUGAGUAACACGUGGGAACGUGCCUUUAGGUUCGGAAUAACUCAGGGAAACUUGUGCCAAUACCGCAUGUGCCCUUCGGGGGAAAGAUUACUCGCCUUUAGAGCGGCCCGCGUCUGUUUAGCUAGUUGGUUGAGGUAAUGGCUCUCCAAGGCGAGGAUCAGUAGCUGGUCUGAGAGGAGGAUCAGCCACAUUGGGACUGAGACACGGCCCAAAAUCCGACGCGAGGGAGCAGUGGGUAAUCUUGCGCGAUGGACGAAGGCGUGACGCAGCCAUGCGGCGGGAAUGAUGAAGGUCUUAGUAUUGUAAAAUUCUUUCACCGGGGACGAGAAUGACGGUACCCGGAGAAGAAGCCCCGGCUAACUUCGUG